GUAAUCCUAGUCCUCUCUGCUCUUAUUGAUUGGUUGGACCAAUCAACUGACCCCAUUCUGGCCAAUGAGAUAAAAGGGCUGCUCUGGAACGGGUUUUCUCUUUUGUCAUCCUGCUGCUGCUGCUGCUGCUGCUGCUGCUGCUAAGUCGCUUCAGUUGUGUCCGUCUCUCACCAGGCUCCCUCGUCCCUGGCAUUCUCCAGGCAAGAACACUGGAGUGGGUUGCCAUUUCCUUCUCCAAUGCGUGAAAGUGAAAAGUGAAAGUGAAGUCGCUCAGUUGUGUCCGACUCUUCGCGACCCCAUGGACGGCAGCCUACCAGGCUUCUCCGUCCAUGGGAUUUUCCAGGCAAGAGUACUGGAGUGGGUCGCCAGUGCCUUCUCCCGCUUUUGUCAUAAAGGAGAGGAAAAGGGGUUGAUGGUUUCGCCUUUUCUUCUCACCUUUAAGUGUGUUUUUUGAGGUGAUAGUGGUUAGAGCUCGAGGGACAAUAUUUCUAAUUCACUGAGGAUGAAAUGGAGUGCACGGACGAAGGACACCUUGGAGCAACAGAACCAAUUGCUCUGCUGACUCUUCUGGGCUCCUCGUUCUGUGAGGAAGAUUCUCACAACCCCUUUUCACCAGAAUCUUCAGGAUGGAGGGAGGGUCUUGCAGCUGCAGGAGAGGCUCUGCUCAGGCCCCCCUCACUCCUCCCGAUUUGAACUUCUGGACCAGCGUCUGGCUUGCCUGCCCGUCCUCCCUUGUUCCCAAUUAGCCUACAGUCUGCUGCCAGAAUUCAUCUUCUAAAUUACAACUCCAAUGAUGUAGUUCAACAGAGCAUAAAUUUUCUUGACUCCACAUUGGCUAUUAAAUUAGAUAAAUGUAUCCAAGUGACAUUCUGAAUUCUCUUGAAUAUCAUUAAACAUAUUUUAAAUGUCUGAUA
Molecule: long non-coding RNA, 914 nt
Organism: Bos taurus (domestic cattle)
Lineage: Eukaryota; Metazoa; Chordata; Mammalia; Artiodactyla; Bovidae
Source: Ensembl